Molecule: ribosomal RNA, 253 nt
Filed under: uncultured bacterium
Lineage: Bacteria
Description: partial 16S ribosomal RNA
Rfam family: Bacterial small subunit ribosomal RNA
Source: RNAcentral
UACAGAGGGUGCGAGCGUUGUCCGGAAUCACUGGGCGUAAAGGGCGCGUAGGCGGCCUGAUAAGUAGGGGGUGAAAUCCUGUGGCUUAACUGCAGGGCUGCCUCCUAGACUGUUAGGCUCGAGCACGGUAGAGGCAGAUGGAAUUCCCGGUGUAGCGGUGGAAUGCGUAGAGAUCGGGAAGAACACCAGUGGCGAAGGCGGCUCACUGGCCCGGUACUGACGCUGAGGUGCGAAAGCGUGGGGAGCAAACAGG